Molecule: non-coding RNA, 23 nt
Filed under: Arabidopsis thaliana (thale cress)
Lineage: Eukaryota; Viridiplantae; Streptophyta; Magnoliopsida; Brassicales; Brassicaceae
Source: RNAcentral
CUGAUGCACUACUUAUAUGGAUA